Molecule: long non-coding RNA, 361 nt
Filed under: Ananas comosus (pineapple)
Lineage: Eukaryota; Viridiplantae; Streptophyta; Magnoliopsida; Poales; Bromeliaceae
Description: long non-coding RNA (ACOM_LNC009882)
Source: RNAcentral
GGAUCAUUAGUGCUAAUCAACUAUUUUAAAAACACGUGCUGAUAGAAAGUGUGCACCCAUAGCAUUUAAGGUUUCAAUAAUAGCAUUUUCUGGCUUCGACUUGACUCAACCUAUCUGGACGUUGGAUCUAUUGUUGGGUUUUUUGUCGUUAGGUUUUUGUGGACCGCAGUACCACUUAAUUUAUUAGGCUCAUCCAACUCAACUUAUUAGUCUUCUGGACCUAUUGUCACAAGGUAGGAAUUUGGACAUAUUUUAGCCCAAUAAUAAAUAGCCAACGCCUCCAACUUUUAAUAUUGAGUGUCAUCAUUUUUUUUAUUCUCUCCUUUUUAUUUAUGGCGACGGCGAGACCUACGAUAGCGAU